Molecule: long non-coding RNA, 871 nt
Filed under: Homo sapiens (human)
Lineage: Eukaryota; Metazoa; Chordata; Mammalia; Primates; Hominidae
Description: HSALNT0249688
Source: RNAcentral
GUUAAACAACUUCUUAUUCCACAACUAUCUAGAAGUAAAAAUUACUAUAAAUUGAAUGAUGAAAACUUCAGGUCAUUCCUUUCAAAGUCCUUUCCAGUGCUGCAUGGAGAAAAAACGCAAUCUACAACCACAACAAUAAAUGAGGUAUGAGAUUUAAUUCUGGAUAUUACAGGGAGGCUUAAUGAAGCAGAGAAGUGGAUUUCCGGAGAAGGAGAGAUUAAAGUCUGGAAAAGAAGUAUACCUGUCUGGGGAUUAAAAAACAAACAACUUUGAACGGUCAAGGAACCUGGAAACCAAGCUCAUAAAAGGUUUAUGCAAACAUCAAAUGUGGCAUCCCACAUGGCAGCAGCAGAAAGGCACUGGGGUAGAAGAUGAGUGAUAAUGAGGUUACCCCGGAAUGCAGUUGGUUGGCUGGCAUGCAAAGGGAUCUUCUCACUUUGUUGGAUAUCUGAAAUGUGUAUAUGUUUUUUUUGGAAGCAGAGUCUCACUCUGUUGCCCAGGCUGGAGUACAGUAGCACAAUCAUAGCUCACUGCAGCCUUGACCUUCUGGGCUCAAGUGAUCCUCCUGCCUCAGCCUCCUGUGUAGCUGGGACUACAGGCAUGUGCCAUCAUGCCCAGCUAAUUUUUUAAUUUUUGAGGGAGACAGAGUCUCACUAUGUUACUCUGGCUGGUUGCGAACUCCUGGCCUCAAGUGAACUGCCUUGGCCUCUCAAAAUGCUGGGAUUACAGGCAUGAACCACUGGCCCAGCCUGAGGUGUGUAUUGUUAUUGUUUGCUUUGAUGUUGCUCCCUGCAACCCGAAUCAUGCCUUACUGCCAAUUCCUAGAAGCAUUUACUCCAUUGCCAACAGUGAACUUUUAUGGGAAAUUGGG